Molecule: RNA transcript, 9816 nt
Organism: Choloepus didactylus (southern two-toed sloth)
Lineage: Eukaryota; Metazoa; Chordata; Mammalia; Pilosa; Megalonychidae
Gene: PIGM
Gene name: phosphatidylinositol glycan anchor biosynthesis class M
Exons: 2
Source: RefSeq, a predicted model, not a curated record
UCGGUUGGCAGCCGGGAGAGUGGGAGAUGCGCCGGAGACCUGAGGGGCGGAACCGAAGCGAAGGUGAGAAAUUCGCAGGCAGUUUGGAGCUGGAGCUGAGCGGCUAUCGCUCAGUGAGAUCAUGGGCUCGACCGGGCCGUGGGGAGAGGGGUUCAUGAACCUGCGGGUGCCUCCUGCUGGGGUAUUUGGUGUGGCCUUCCUUGCGCGAGUCGCCCUGGUUUUCUACGGGGUGUUCCAAGACCGGACCAUGCUUGUGAGGUACACAGACAUCGACUACCAGGUCUUCACGGACGCCGCGCGCUUUGUCACGGAAGGGCGCUCCCCUUAUCUGAGGGCCACCUACCGUUACACCCCGCUGCUGGGUUGGCUCCUCACUCCCAACAUCUAUCUCAGUGAACUCUUCGGAAAGUUUCUCUUCAUCAGCUGCGACCUUCUCACCGCCUUCCUCAUAUACCGCCUGCUGCUGCUGAAGGGGCUGGGACGCCGCCAGGCUUGUGGCUACUGUGUCUUUUGGCUUCUUAACCCCCUACCUAUGGCGGUCUCCAGCCGAGGCAAUGCGGACUCGAUCGUCGCCUCCUUGGUGCUUAUGGCCCUGUACUUAAUAGAGAAAAGACUGAUCGCGUGUGCCGCCGUAUUCUAUGGUUUCGCGGUGCAUAUGAAAAUGUAUCCGGUGACCUACAUCCUGCCCAUAGCCCUCCACUUGCAGCCAGAACGCGACAAUGAAGAAGACCUCCGUCAAUCCCGGUAUUCUUUUAAGGCUCGUUUGUACGAAUUCCUGAAGAGGCUGUGUAAUCGGGCUGUGUUGCUCUUUGUAGCAGUUGCUGGGCUCACCUUUUUGGCCCUGAGUUUCGGUUUUUACUAUAAAUAUGGCUGGGAAUUUUUGGAGCACACCUACCUUUAUCACCUGACUAGGCGGGAUAUCCGCCACAACUUUUCUCCAUACUUCUACAUGCUGUAUUUGACUGCCGAAAGCAAGUGGAGUUUUUCCCUGGGAAUUGCUGCGUUCCUUCCACAGUUCGUCUUGCUUUCAGCCGUUUCUUUUGCCUAUUACAGAGACCUCAUCUUUUGCUGUUUCCUUCAUACAGCCAUUUUUGUGACUUUUAACAAAGUCUGUACCUCCCAGUACUUUCUAUGGUACCUCUGCCUACUGCCCCUUGUGAUGCCACUAGUGAGGAUACCUUGGAAAAGAGCUGUAGUUCUCCUCAUGUUAUGGUUUAUAGGGCAGGCCUUAUGGCUGGCUCCUGCAUAUGUUCUUGAGUUUCAAGGAAAGAACACCUUUCUGUUUAUUUGGUUAGCCGGUUUAUUCUUCCUUCUUAUCAAUUGUUCCAUCCUGAUUCAAAUCAUUUCCCAUUACAAGGAGGAACCCUUGAUAGAGAGAAUCAAAUAUGACUAAUAUAUGCUCCAGAUUGUCUGCCUGUUACAUUCUGAUUAUUCUUUGUGGACCAGAAGAGAGUUUUGGAAAAAAAUUUUUGAACAUUGUAAACUCUCUAGUUAAAGAUCAGUUUGGAGCUUAAAACGGUCUUCCAACAGAAAUUAAAGUGAAUGCUCACCUCAUAUAUAAAAAUAAUUGAGGUUCACCCUCUAGGAAGUCUUAAGACUCAUUUAUCUGGGACCUGAUGUGAAGUUAAGGUUAUUUGUUGAAAAUUGGGAAGGUUGAUAAAAUCGUAAGAUGCUGAAAGGUUUUUGUAGAAAAAUAGAGGAAUGCAGAUAAGAGAUAUAAAGUCUAAGCCAGUGUUUGUUCCAGUUAUACUAUACUGUUUUAAGCUGUGUUUAUCUUCUUGUGUGUGUGCUUAUCUUUUAAGCCUCACUUUUUCUUUCUGAAGCUUUCCUGGCAACUUUGAAAACUCACAAAACGUUCUAAAAGUCUAUCUUUUUAGACGUAAGGUGUUAAAUAAUACUUCUGUGGUUAUGUCGGGGUAAGUUGUUUACUUUGUAUUAAAAGUGAGGGUUUACCUGAUGGCCUUGUUGCAGCCCAUCCAGGCCUCACCCUCUGCCUACAGCAACUACAGUGGAGAUAGGGACCCUGAAGUAAACAAUUUUCCCUUGGUGUUUCCAAGAAAAUCUCUGUCCACGUGGGGCAACACGAUAUGUUAGGUGAGUAGCAGAAUUUUCUUGUGAAGCCAGCCUCUCCUUCUGGCAACAUCCAGGACUUGCAAGGGGCCAUAGGUUGUUCAUGAAGUUUAUCUGAAGCAGUAUAUGCUUAGGGUAUGCCAGCAGAGAGCAAGAGAAAGGGCAGAGGAAAUACCAAGGAGAAAAGUUCAAUCCUCAGGGGGCCCAGCCAUGCUCAUGGAACUUUAAAUGGAGGAUGAAGAUCAUGAUUUCCCAGGGUCCCCAAGAGAUGAUGCAGGAGAUCUGCAGGGUGUUCGAUGCACUUGGUUGUGAAUGGGACCUGACUGAACACUGCAAGCUGUUGUGCACAUGCAGUACACCGGGCUGGGGUGACUUUUUUUUAGUGGCGGACGGAGGUGUGCAGACUGCCGUGGUGGGGUCUUCGUGGGGUGCAAGUAAAAAGGAUAUCUGGAACUUUCACAUCCUUCAAAACAGUUGCAACCUACCUAGAAAAGUAGCUUCAGCUUUCAGGUGCUCCAAGGAGCUGUCUUCGAUACCAGAAGAGGGGUUUUCAGGCCCUCGUUGCCAGAUGGCCACUCUACACACCAUCUGGGCAGAACUCCAGACACUGGACUGGUAUGUUUCCCCUGGGGCCUAGAUUUCCUCUGCCAGCCUGGUGGAAAGGGCCAGGGACCCUCAUACUGACUGUCAGUCAUCUUUUGGAAGCCUAUUAAAGGAGGAGCUCCUUUGUGAUUUUGGUGCCACCUUGAUUGGCAUCUCCAGUCAAUACUCUUAAGAAUGCUCAGAAGUACACAGAAAACAAGUGGCCUAUGAGGGCCAGGGGUCAAGCUAUGGAGCACAAGUCAUGUGCCUUCAAAGCCCCUAGUUUGCCUGGAGAAGAAGACAACCCCUGUUUCUUCACAGAAGUGACCUCAACACCAGUACAUGUCAAAGUAGGAAUUUCCCAUUUUUGGAAAGGACUGGCUUUGGCCUCCAUUCAGAAAAGAUAUUCUUAUUCAGGCAUUUGUCCAUGGCUCCUGAGUUUCUGAUUUUGAACCUGAAAGCAAAGAGCAAGAACAGAUACUCCCACCACAUGUGGAGGAAGUAGUCAGAAAAAAAACUCAUCAAGAGUCCAAGCUGUUCUCAUUAGGCUUUCCAUGAUUAAAGAAGAUGAUGAGCUCCACAAGCCCCACAAGAAGAUGCAUGAGAUGGCAGGUACUGGACACAAACAGUAAGUUAAACACAGCCAGUGAAUUCAGUCUGCUGGGGAUGUGUGGCACAAUGUGCUGAAGACUUUGGGCAGUGGAGGACGGAGGUGUGCAGGUACUGUGGUGGGGUUUCAGUGAGGUUCACCUGCAGAGGAAAUCCAUACCACCAUGGUCUUCAAAAACAUUGCCUCCAAAGUAUCUAAGAGCCUUCAGGUUUCAAAGGCUGUGAGGAAACACCUGUGGGACUGUUACCAGUAGAAAACCCUGUCCCAGUUAGUCAGGCCCCCCAAUCCCGCAUCAAACAGAGAAACAAGUCUCUUUCUUUGGUGAGAAGGUGAGUUUAUUGAAGAUGCUUCAACAAGAAACUGGAGGAAAGAAAAACCUUUCAAGUCCAGUUCAAAGUGAGAAUUGGUUGGGCUUUUAUAACCUCAAACAGACAAAGAAAUGGCCAGAAGCCAGAAGAAAGCAGAAAGGAAAAUAUAUAUAUAUAUAUAUAUAUAUAUAUAUAUGAGAGAAAGCUGCUCUGUCAGCAUUUCCUUGUUAUCUUGAAGUCUUGAAGUCCUCCCUUCAUUCAGGUUUGUUUUUCAAACAGCCAGUUCUUUAUCAAACCAUAUGGUGGUUUCCUCCUGUGGGCAAUGCUGGGAAAGUUCCUGGGAGCAGAGAGCAAGUUUUUUGUUGUUGAGAGUAGAACAAGAGCAAGUUAUUUUAACAAGGGCUUUUCAUGGUCAGAAUAACUCAAGGCUGCUUGAAUGAAGUGAUCUUAAUAAAGUUUUUUUCUCCUAUUGGCUAUUGAAGACUAUACUAAGCAUUUUCCAGCUAAAGAAUUAUAUUGAAUAUUCUCUACUUAUCCAGCUUUCAGGACCAGAGGAGAUAUUAAACAACUCACAAAGAAUAAUGUCAUUCCCCUUAGGACUUUCUUAGAAGUCAGUGAAGUUCUGCUGGGAUCUCUGGAGGGAACUUCAACUGCAGAUCCUGCCCUUCAAGAAAUUCUCUAUCAAAUAACUGCAUGCUAUUCUUAAGAGAAACAGAAGAUAUUUUGCACUUUAUAGGCUGCAAAUUACUUAGUAAAUUAACUCAAGAAAGGAUUUUAUUUUUUCUCUGAGUUUUAAAAAUUUUUUUCAUUUAUUUUUGUUUUCUGGCUUUGUAAAAUCUUGUCUUUUAGCUUGCAUUCCUUUUGGUUUCUCUUUUAGUCCUUUAAUAACACCUUAAAAUUGUAUAGCCCUUUGGCUUAUAAUCUACAUAAUUCUUUCAUUUUUAAACUACCCCCUUAAGAUCAAUGUGACCAUUUUACAUGUAAGCAUUAAUCAUUAGCGUAAGAGGGAUGGUUCUGAAGGUAGUCUGUGUUCUAAGCAGAAGGAUACAUAAUGUCUUUAUGUCUUCAAAAUAUUGUCUCUAAAUAUCCCUAGAUAAAUUCCCUGGAUCAGGCCAUUGAGAAGGGUAAUUACCCCAGCCUUCCUCCUCUUCCAUGAAUUUCUUUCUUUAAAACCCUAGAUUUUAGUUACUUCUCUCACCAUGGUUUCAGAAGUUUUCGUUGGUUUACUUAUGGCUGAUUAGAUUUGUUAUUUCUCCCACGUCAACUGUUUGUUGCACUACCACCCCCACCCCAAUCAUCUGUACUAUGAGUGGUAAAGGAAAAUGAUAAAUUUAACCCAGUCCCUACAUGCAACCUUUUAAUUUUUCCCCCAAUGCUUUAUUAUGAAAAAUUUUAAACACUACUCAUAUACCCACAAGUUCAACAAUGAACAUUUUGUCAUAUUUGCUCUAUUUGUACAUAUUAUAUUUAUAUACAUAUAAUUUUUUUCUGAACCAUGGGAAUUUGCAAACAUUGAACUGCACUACUAAAUACAUCAGCAUGCAUGUCCUAAACAUAAAGUCCUUUUUUUUAAACAAAACCAUAAUACCAUUGUCAUACCUAAGAAAACGAUUAAUGAUGUUCUAAUAUUGUUUAACAUCUUGUCCAUUUUCACAUUUCUCCAGUUACCCGUGUUUAAUCUUAAAGAACAGUCUCGGAUGUCAAACACUCCUUGGAAAAAACGGCAUGAAAGAUAACCCAUAAUUAAGAAGCUUGGAUCUUUUCCUGAUCUUUUAAAGAAAGCCAGAACUAAAGGGAUUUGCCUUCCGUCAACGUUGAAUCUCUAAGUAAUUCUUUUGUGUAAUUCUCCCUGUCUCCCUCCUAAGAAAACAUAAGGUGAUAUUCGUACCUAAUAAGUUUUCCAAAUAAAACAUAUGUGUUGGGCUGUUGUCUCCCCACCUCCGUUGGGGCUCCACCCCCAUGCCCAGGUCCAGCCUGCUCUCGGGUCCGGAGCCGUCCCCGCCCCGUCACCAUCGGCCGGGUGUCCGCUUUGCGGCACUGCGACCCUCCGAACCCCUGCGAACAUGGCUCCGCGCGCGGCACGGGGCGUGCGGAUCCUCGUCUGCAGCCUGCGCGGCCUCGGCGAUCCCCAGAUCCUGCCCGCCGCGCCCCUGGGGGCUGCAGACGCUGCGCACCGGCCCGGCUCUGCUCUCGGUGCGGAAACUAACAAACAUGAACGGAUAACAACAGAGAAUGGUACUGGAACAGUGGGAAUCAGCAAUUUUGCACAGGAAGCUUUGGGAGAUGUUUACUGUAGUCUUCCUGAGGUUGGGACAAAAUUGAACAAACUAGGAGUGUGGUGCUUUGGAAAGUGUGAAAGCUGCCAGUGAACUUUAUUUUCAUCUAUCAGGAGAAGUAACAGAAAUUAAUGAAGCUCUUGCAGAAAAUCCAGGACUUGUCAACAAAUCUUGUUAUGAAGAUGGUUGGCUGAUCAUGAUAACGCUGAGUAAUCCUUCAGAACUUGAUGAACUAAUGAGUGAAGAAGCAUAUAGAAAUGUAUAAAAUCUAUUGAAGAGUGAAAAUGGAACCCCUAAGUAAACUAGUCUGAAACAGCAUAAUCCAGCAAUAUUUUAAAUUACUGCUGGAUAAAAAUUUAUAAUAGCAACUUUUAGCAAUACCAUAGUAAAGCAAACUGCUUGUUCCAACUAUGCUAUUGAAAGAAAAUACCCCUUAACUUUCUAAUGAUAGCAGAUAAACACAAUUUGCAUCUUUUUCAUAUCACCCAGUGAUUAAGACCAGGAUCUAGUUAUUAUUUUCAGAAUCCAUGAAAUUAUCGGAAGUAAAAACUACUUGCAAAAAUUAAGUAAUUCACAGAUAAGAUUGUUAUCGUAAGCCUUACAUAAUAUUGUAACUUGCUUCAAUCCCUGGAUUUGGGUCAAAAUACUUAAUGAUAUUUCCACUGGAAAUAACUGGGAGUGGAUGUAAGUUUCUGUUAGUUGUACAGUGUCAGGUGAGAAAUAGCACUAUCUUAACUUUGCAAUAUACCUCAUUGGUGGUGCUAUUUUCAUACAAUGAAGCAACAGCCUUGCAGCAAAAUAAGAAACUCUUUAAUAAGAAUAAAACAUUCAACUUCUCCAUAAAAUACAUACAUAUAUAUAUAUAUAUAUAUAUAUAUAUGUUGGGAUUCUUACUGGGUAUCCUGCCUUACCACCUCCCACCCCACCCCACCCCCCAACAAAACAAAACAACAACUGAUUUUAUGUCCUGAUAGUAGUAAGUUCCAGCUUUUCAUGAGUCACCAUUUUUUUUAGGUAUCUAUUUUGUCAUAUGUGAUCUCAUUUAACUUUUACAGCAACGCUUCAGAGCUGGUAUCUGUACUCCCAUUUUAUAGAUAAAUAAAAGAAAAAAAAAUAAAGCUCAGAGAUUAAAUGACUUGUUAAUAAGUAGCAGAGCUAGAAUUUGAAGUGAGUUUUGCAAGACUAAAACUGUUAUGCUCUUUCCACUAUAUUAUGUUUGGAUUUUUCCAGUCUCAUGACCCAGCAGAUGAAGAUUGCUGCAGAAUAAAUGGGAUUCAACACUAACUCUUAACAAAUUUCUUCCCAAUUUGUCCUUCCUAAUCUUUUAAUUAUUUGCUUGUAGCUGUGCAAAUAUUUCUGUCAAUCCUAAACAUGUCUCUUUAAUGAUUCUAGUUCUUUAUUAACCCCUUCCCACAUCCAAAUCCUCUCUCAACAAAUUGUAUAAUUCGUUACUUCAGAUUUCAUCAUACUUUUUCCACCCGUAGCCUGAUUAAGAAGUUGCUUUACUAAACCACUUCUUAGCCUAGCUGUUUGCAUAUCAAGCUAUGGAAGUUAUGUGACCAUAAUCUCCAAGAGGCAAAUGAUUGCUGUUAAAUUUCUCUUGACCUGCAGUGUGCAUUUGCAGUGUAUAUUCAUUCAAUUAAAAAUCAUGUCUUAGACCAAUAGUAUGGCAUGACAGAACACAGACUUGGAUAGUUUAGGUUCAAAUCCUAAUGUGUGACCUUGGGCAAGAUUCUUAUGUCUAGAUACAUUAGUUUUCUUAGCCAUGAAAUGGGGAUGAUAGGAUAAUUCUCAUAGAAUUGUGAUACCCCAAGUGCUUAAGCUGGCGUAGAAUAAGCCAUCCCCCCUCGCCCCCAUCCACCCCAGCUUUAACACCUGUUUAUCAGCCUUUAAAAAAGGUGCUCCUUCAGGACUAUAGACUUAAGCCUUUCUGUUUCAAUUGUAGUGGAUAUAGACAAAGAACCAGGAUUUAUACUAAGUAGUUUUAACUAUCUGUAAAUUUUAUUCCUUCUAAUCUUGAUCUGUUUCUUUGAAAAGAUAUUACUUUUAUGUCUAAAUGUAUGAACAGAUUCUUCAGAUGUCUGAUUCCAGCUUGACAGUUUUGAAUUUGUAUAUUCCUGUCACACAUUAACUGACUCGAAGCACUGGAGGUUUGGUUUAUGCCCCUAAGUUACAUAGCACUUCUUUUCUGCAUUGUAUUGAGGGUUCAUUGAAGGAUUAGUGUUCUGUAGAUGGAAGCACGUGUCUUUUGCCUGGGUCAGAAGUAUUGGAAUAGCACAAGCACUUAUUCAGUGCUGAAUUAGGGGAACCAUUCAUUUAGUCAAAACAAGCAUUCAUAUUCAUUAUCCUGAACAAAACCCAGAAUAAAUGGGAACAUUUCUGGCUGCUUAGACAUUUUACUAAUUGCUGUGUCUGCUAUAUAAAAUGAAAUGACACUUACAGUGACUAUUUAGAAAUAAUCUGUAGCGUGAACAUUUGAAGCUCAGUUCUUUCACAAAUGAAAAUUUUUAACCUCUGCUCUUCAUUUGGCAAUUAUUUAUAGAUCCAGGCCUUGUGCCAAGUAAUGAUUAGAUGAGUAAAAAACAAGGUCUAGUUAACAGUAAAGACAGAAACAUACCCCACUAAUAAAAUGCUAGAUGAGACCCCCCAUUAAAUUCCACAAUUCUGUGUUUUGUAAAAUGGGAGAGUAAAGGAUAUUACUAUUCCUAUUUCUCAGAUAAGAAAAUUAAGGCUCAGAAACAGGUAACUUUACAAGGCCAAACAGCUGGUUGAUGACUGGGCCACACCAGGCCUGGACUCCAGAUUUACUGAUUCUAAGUCCAGUGCUUUUUCUUCUACUUUAUUUUGCAAUCUUUCUUAAUGCUAGAUGAUGACAGGUGAAUAAAGUGAAAAAUUUCACCUAACUAAUAUCUAUUCAGUAUCAGCUACGUGCCAGGCAUUGUUCUAGGUGUUGUGAAUGCAGCUAGGAGGCAAAGAUCCUGUUUUCAUGGAACUCAAAUUUUCAUGCGGAAGCAAGAAUAAGCAAAUAUGUUAUUGUAAUGAUUAUCAUAAAGAAAAAGAAGGCAAACUAAGGAAGAAGAGAGUGAUGGUGGUGAGGAGAGGGGUGUGAGAGCUGCUUUAAAUAAAGUGGUUAGGGGAGGCAUUUCGAUGAGGUGGCACUUGAGCAGAGACCUGAAGUGAUGGCAUGACAGCCAUGCAACUAUCUGGGGGAAGGGCAUGUCUUGGUGAAAAGCAGUGCAAAGGCCCUGAGAUAGGAAUGAGCUUGCAUGUGUUUAAAGAAAAGCCAGAAGAUGAGUAUAACGAGUGAAUGAGGAGCAACCAGAAUCUAAUUCACAGUAUCCAGCAGAACAUGACUGCUAAUUGAAAACUGCAAUUAGCAUUAGUAUUUUUAUGGCCUAAAAUACAAUAAAUUAGGGCCCAACCUCUUUCUCACCCCAACUUCUGAGCACAUAUUAAUUUGUGAGGAAAGUGAAAUGUAUAUAAACAACAUAUUUGAAUAGUGCUACAAAGUAGACACUAUUUUGAGACAUUGAGGAUUUUUUUUUUAACUCCAGUUUUACAGAUGAGAAACCUAAUGCUCAGGAUAUAUGCAUAUUGAGAAAAGUUGGAGUCAGUACAUGAGGCAGGACCAGAAUUCUGAUCUUCUGAAGCAAAAUUUACUGUUUCUUUCUCUGUUGUGCCCUUAUCAAUUAGCUGUGGGGAGCAGAAGAUGAGCCACUGGAUCCUAUAAGGAAGGAAAUUCAGGAAAAAGUUGUCCAGAUCAUUCAUACAUUCAAUAAACACUUAUUAAGGGCCUACUUUGUAUCCUACUUUGUGCCAGAUACUUAGUCAGGCUGGGGGUAUAAUGAUGAAUAAGACAACAGUCCUUUCUUCAAAGAAUUCACAAUAUCCAAUACAGAAAAUAAAUAGAAACUUGAUUAUAACUCAAUAUGACAAUAGCCAGAGUAAUAUACAGACAUAUCUCAUUUUA